GAAACUUAAAGGAAUUGGCGGGGGGAGCACAACAACGGGGGGGGGCCUGCGGUUUAAUUGGACUCAACGCCGGAAAACUCACCGGGGGCGACAGCAAUAUGUGGGCCAAGCUAAAGACUUUGCCUGAAUCGCUGAGAGGAGGUGCAUGGCCGUCGCCAGUUCGUACUGUGAAGCAUCCUGUUAAGUCAGGCAACGAGCGAGACCCGUGCCCACUGUUACCAGCAUGUCCUCCGGGACGAUGGGUACACUGUGGGGACCGCUGAUGUCAAAUCAGAGGAAGGUGCGGGCUACGGUAGGUCAGUAUGCCCCGAAUCUCCCGGGCUACACGCGGGCUACAAUGGUCGGGACAAUGGGUCCCUUCCCCGAAAGGGGUUGGUAAUCUCACAAACCCGUCCUUAGUUCGGAUCGAGGGCUGUAANUUCGCCCUCGUGAAGCUGGAAUCCGUAGUAAUCGCGUUUCAAUAUAGCGCGGUGAAUACGUCCCUGCUCCUUGCACACACCGCCCGUCAAACCACCCGAGUGAGGUAUGGGUGAGGGCACGGACUCUGUGCCGUGUUCGAACCUGAAUUUCGCAAGGGGGGUUAAGUCGUAACAA
RNAcentral lists this ribosomal RNA (594 nucleotides) under uncultured Methanosarcinales archaeon. RNAcentral describes it as "bacterial SSU rRNA". It matches the Rfam family "Archaeal small subunit ribosomal RNA", at positions 851 to 1441 of the family's 1478-position model. Lineage: Archaea; Methanobacteriati; Methanobacteriota; Methanomicrobia; Methanosarcinales. The record is from RNAcentral.